This 427-nucleotide ribosomal RNA is filed under the name uncultured bacterium. RNAcentral describes it as "partial 16S ribosomal RNA". It matches the Rfam family "Bacterial small subunit ribosomal RNA", at positions 355 to 774 of the family's 1533-position model. The record is from RNAcentral.
UAGGGAAUCUUCCGCAAUGGGCGAAAGCCUGACGGAGCAACGCCGCGUGAGUGAUGAAGGUCUUCGGAUCGUAAAACUCUGUUAUUAGGGAAGAACAUAUGUGUAAGUAACUGUGCACAUCUUGACGGUACCUAAUCAGAAAGCCAUGGCUAACUACGUGCCAGCAGCCGCGGUAAUACGUAGGUGGCAAGCGUUAUCCGGAAUUAUUGGGCGUAAAGCGCGCGUAGGCGGUCUUUUAAGUCUGAUGUGAAAGCCCACGGCUCAACCGUGGAGGGUCAUUGGAAACUGGAAAACUUGAGUGCAGAAGAGGAAAGUGGAAUUCCAUGUGUAGCGGUGAAAUGCGCAGAGAUAUGGAGGAACACCAGUGGCGAAGGCGACUUUCUGGUCUGUAACUGACGCUGAUGUGCGAAAGCGUGGGGAUCAAACA